GCGUUGUUUGAAAGGAGAGAAGGUGAAUACGCCCCUUGACAAGGAUGGAAGAGGCCCUUAAGCCUGCACAACACACAUGGUGAAGGCAUUUCCACCUACUUCGUGUACUCUAACCUUUGUUUUUA
Molecule: small nuclear RNA, 125 nt
Organism: Choloepus didactylus (southern two-toed sloth)
Lineage: Eukaryota; Metazoa; Chordata; Mammalia; Pilosa; Megalonychidae
Source: RefSeq, a predicted model, not a curated record